RNAcentral lists this long non-coding RNA (2844 nucleotides) under Sorghum bicolor (sorghum). Its description in RNAcentral is "long non-coding RNA (SBIC_LNC012218)". Lineage: Eukaryota; Viridiplantae; Streptophyta; Magnoliopsida; Poales; Poaceae. The record is from RNAcentral.
CACAACUGUUAAGAAAGGAAAGCUUCCACAAGGUGAUACUGUACCAUCACUCUUCAGGCAAGUAACAUCUUAAGGUACUUGACUAUCACUUCUAUAAGCUUCUCCUUGGUUCUGGCGUUCAUAUAAAUAAAAGAGACAAACGUGUAUGAUUUACAACUCUAGAUUAACCAACCUAACUGAUUCAACAUGUUCAGUCCUUUAAUCCUUGUUCUUAGUACUACCUCCAUGAUCACACACUCCUAAUCAUAUGAGCUAAAAUGUUACACAUUCAAUCAUUGAGAGAUAUAAAGAAAAAGAUAUAUACAUAGAUAGAUUAUCUUUCCAUAAGGUUGAGCAAUCUGAUCUGACAAAUGUUAUAAGUGCUACACUCAUGAACUUUUCAUCCAUCAACUUUGUCUUGCUCACUAUGCUUAGUGUUAGAGAAGAACAAAUACACUUUAGGUUCUGUUGGUGUUUUCCACCAACAGGACCCAUGCACUUGAUCUCUGCCGUGUCUCUAUGAGCAGGUACACUUCGAGCAAAACACAGAGGGAGUUUUAUAACUCUCAGACUCUACCAAGUAAAGGACCUGGAUCUACGAGCACAAACACACUGAGCAGGAUACUGCCAACGCCGCACUUCAAACUGCUGGGCAAACGAAGAGGUGCAGACGUCAAGGUCCGCACCUGAAUCAAAUGACGCACCUAAAGAAUGAACACGGUAAGAAGUAUUGUUAAGAAGACUUAAAACAUUGAACCCUCACCGAAAGGUAAGAUCGGUAGUUAUCCAUAUUUAUCCAUAUUUAUCGGGAGUAAUAUUUAUUGAGGAAGCUCAACAUGAUGAAGGCUAGAUAUUUAUGCUAACACUUAAUUAGUUCCACAAGCUUUGUUGUCUAUUUGAGCUCCACAGAAUUUAAGAAUCAAGAAGACUAGCAGACGGAGGACAUUCUAAUCGCUGUCAAAAUGCUGCUGACUUCCAAAUACACCUCUGCCACCUGCUAGCUACAUCAAGAGAAAUUACGUCAAAAUUCAGCUUAGGGGAGAGCACCCCCAUUUAUCUCGCUAAGUAUUUCUACCUAUCUUUAUACUUAUAUUAUAUUAGAAUAUUAAAAUACAUAAACUAUGAAAAACUAAAUAAAGCUUUUGUGCUUAUAUAUAUAUCUUUUUCUUAAUGUGUUUAAUAAAUAAAUAAAGUGGCUAUGCUAAUUUGAAUCUUAAUAAUAAAACUCUAGCAUGGAUAUGAUGAAUAGUUGCUCUGCCUAUUUUGCAAAUUUGAAGUUCUCUCUCAAGUUUAGACAUAACUGUUGUAAUUUAAAGCUUGCUCUAGAUCUAAACUUGUGGGAUGAAAACUUGAUCUGAAAUCUAAGUUGUUAACGGAUAUGAUAUGGGAAGCUUGAGCUGCUGUUUAUCUGUUCCUAGAGAUGCUAGAAUUCUAGAGAAUUUUAUCUUUAAAAAUCAUUAAAAUAUUGCAUGAUGAGUUUCUGUAUGAUGAGAGUUUAAAUUCCUACCACAGCCAUACAUACAUGCUUGCUAGACUUUGAGCCACACAUUUAUGAUUUACUGCUUAUGAGCAUUGAGUGUGGUCAAGCUGUGUAGACCCUUAGGAGCUUGUCAUGUGGUUAAAUCAAGAUUCACUUGCACGUUCACUCAUAUAUGCUACUUCUACUCCGGAAGUACCAUACACAUAUAUCCAUCCAUGUCUAUCUCCAAAACCACCCAAAAAUAUUCUACUCCUAAUCCGGGAGAGAAUAGCCAAAAAUAUUUCUGUUUUCCCUUGUGAAAUAAAUGAUCAAGUUAUCUUGCUACUACCACUUGCUAUAUUAUCUCAAGAUAUGAGUGCUCUGGAAAAAAAGAAAAGAGAAGAAAAGAAAAAAAAUAAAUAAACAAAUGAGGAAAUAAAAAGGGGCAAGUGCCCGGAACCUCGAAAGAAAAGAAAAAAGAGUGAGACGAGAGGUAAAAAUGGACAAGUGUCCGACAAUAGAAUUAGGGGUACAGGAUACCCACCUGAGAGGAAAGAAAAAUGAAAGAUAGAGCAUCUCAUUCUCCUCAUAAAGUUUCAAAAAGCAAGGAAGGUAUGUAUCCCCUCAAAAGAGCAAAAGUAGAAUUAGACUUCCACCAUUGUUAUCACCAUCAUCACCAUACACCAUUCAUUCGCCACACAUGCACAUCUUGAUUUGACUUAUUGACUUGUUUCUCUGGAUCCAUGGUUUGACUAUGCAAUAAAUGUCUUAUAAGUAUGUACUAGCUGUCUCCCACCUAUGAGCUCCAGAUAUUAAAGCCUUAUUAGAGUAGGGUGAGAGAGAAGGCAAUGUCACUAUUCCUUAUACCACAAAUACCACAUAUAUUGAGAGAAGGCAUAUACCAUCACUGCCUUGGUAAGGAUCCAGAAAUACCACAAAAGAGAGAUUUAGAGAGUCAUACAAAGAAUCUCUGAGUUUUAUUUGAAAAUCUGCAAAAACUCCAGAGCUAUAGCUGAUCAAGAAUAAGAGACAUGGCACUUAGCUAGACUGUUCUAUCUUUUAACUACUCAAGACAGAAGUGACGGUUACAAGUCCGAUGGUGAAAGGUAAAGUAAGCAAGUUUUAGUUCUUGACAGUUUACUCUAACUCAGAGAUGAGAUCUUAUUUAAAAGCAUGUGUACCGUCAAAUUUUUAAGAUACUGCAACAACUUCUGAUCCAUUGCUGAGUCUAUCCUUGCUCAGGGACGAGCAAGAGGUAAGCUUGGGGGAGUUUGUUGAUGGUCCUUAAGUAUCAAAUUUAAUUAUCAAAUAAACAAAGAAAAGGAUCCAAAUGAAAUCAACAUCUAGACUUAGGGUUUUAUCUGACAGAAUUCCACGAGUUUUGGUGUUUGUCUAUUUCUGCAGGG